AAGAAGUACAACAGCUCUCUACCGCAAGAAAGUCUAAUCUAUUCCAGCACUCUCUUUGCUGUGAGACAGGCUGUUAUAUAGACUUAAAUGGC
This is a small nucleolar RNA of Fukomys damarensis (Damara mole-rat), 92 nucleotides long. Lineage: Eukaryota; Metazoa; Chordata; Mammalia; Rodentia; Bathyergidae. The record is from Ensembl.